AGCAGCCGCGGUAAUUCCAGCUCCAAUAGCGUAUAUUAAAGUUGUUGCAGUUAAAAAGCUCGUAGUUGAAUUUCGGGAUCAGUACGCUGGUCGUGCCUUGUGUAUGUACUGGUGUUACUGGUUCCUACCUUCUGACGAACCGUCAUGUCAUUAAUUUGGUGUGGCGGGGAAUCAGGACUGUUACUUUGAAAAAAUUAGAGUGUUUAAAGCAGGCUCGCGCUUGAAUACAUUAGCAUGGAAUAAUGAAAUAGGACGUUCGAUCCUAUUUUGUUGGUUUCUAGGAUUGACGUAAUGAUUAAUAGGGAUAGUUGGGGGCAUUAGUAUUCAAUUGUCAGAGGUGAAAUUCUUGGAUUUAUUGAAGACUAACUACUGCGAAAGCAUUUGCCAAGGAUGUUUUCAUUAAUCAAGAACGAAAGUUAGGGGAUCGAAGACGAUCAGAUACCGUCGUAGUCUUAACCAUAAACUAUGCCGACUAGGGAUCGGAUGAUGUUAUUUUAAUGACCCAUUCGGCGCCUUACGG
RNAcentral lists this small RNA (520 nucleotides) under uncultured Glomus. RNAcentral's name for it is "SSU rRNA". It matches the Rfam family "Eukaryotic small subunit ribosomal RNA", at positions 569 to 1093 of the family's 1831-position model. The record is from RNAcentral. Lineage: Eukaryota; Fungi; Glomeromycota; Glomeromycetes; Glomerales; Glomeraceae.